Molecule: ribosomal RNA, 768 nt
Filed under: uncultured Bacilli bacterium
Lineage: Bacteria; Bacillati; Bacillota; Bacilli
Description: bacterial SSU rRNA
Rfam family: Bacterial small subunit ribosomal RNA
Source: RNAcentral
GACGAACGCUGGCGGCGUGCCUAAUACAUGCAAGUCGAGCGGACCGACGGGAGCUUGCUCCCUUAGGUCAGCGGCGGACGGGUGAGUAACACGUGGGUAACCUGCCUGUAAGACUGGGAUAACUCCGGGAAACCGGGGCUAAUACCGGAUGCUUGAUUGAACCGCAUGGUUCCAAUCAUAAAAGGUGGCUUUUAGCUACCACUUACAGAUGGACCCGCGGCGCAUUAGCUAGUUGGUGAGGUAACGGCUCACCAAGGCGACGAUGCGUAGCCGACCUGAGAGGGUGAUCGGCCACACUGGGACUGAGACACGGCCCAGACUCCUACGGGAGGCAGCAGUAGGGAAUCUUCCGCAAUGGACGAAAGUCUGACGGAGCAACGCCGCGUGAGUGAUGAAGGUUUUCGGAUCGUAAAACUCUGUUGUUAGGGAAGAACAAGUACCGUUCGAAUAGGGCGGCACCUUGACGGUACCUAACCAGAAAGCCACGGCUAACUACGUGCCAACAGCCGCGGUAAUACGUAGGUGGCAAGCGUUGUCCGGAAUUAUUGGGCGUAAAGCGCGCGCAGGCGGUUUCUUAAGUCUGAUGUGAAAGCCCCCGGCUCAACCGGGGAGGGUCAUUGGAAACUGGGGAACUUGAGUGCAGAAGAGGAGAGUGGAAUUCCACGUGUAGCGGUGAAAUGCGUAGAGAUGUGGAGGAACACCAGUGGCGAAGGCGACUCUCUGGUCUGUAACUGACGCUGAGGCGCGAAAGCGUGGGGAGCGAACAGG